AAAACUGGGGUUAAUUCCCGAUGGGUGAGGAGGCCUGGAAUGGUUCUUCACUGAAAGGGCGCUAGAGGCAUGCUCUCUAACGUUGCCCAAGGAUGGGGCCGCGGCCGAUCAGGUUGUUGGUGAGGUAACGGCUUACCAAGCCUAUAACCGGUACGGGCCGUGAGAGCGGGAGCCCGGAGAUGGGCACUGAGAUAAGGGCCCAGGCCCUACGGGGCGCAGCAGUUACGAAAACUCCGCAAUGCACGAAAGUGUGACGGGGCUACCCCGAGUGCCGUCCGCUGAGGAUGGCUUUUCUCCGCUGUAAGGAGGCGGAGGAAUAAGGAGAGGGCAAGACUGGUGUCAGCCGCCGCGGUAAUACCAGCUCUUCGAGUGGUAGGGGUGAUUAUUGGGCUUAAAGCGUCCGUAGCCGGCCUGGCAAGUCUUCCGUUAAAUCCAGCAACCUAAUUGUUGGGCUGCGGGGGAUACUGUUAGGCUAGGGGGCGGGAGAGGCCGACGGUAUUCUCGGGGUAGGGGUGAAAUCUUAUAAUCCCGGGAGGACCACCAGUGGCGAAGGCUGUCGGCUAGCACGCGCCUGACGGUGAGGGACGAAAGCUGGGGGAGCGAACCGGAUUAGAUACCCGGGUAGUCCCUGCUGUAAACGAUGCGAGCUAGGUGUUGGGGCGGCUACGAGCCGCUUCAGUGCCGCAGCGAAGGCGUUAAGCUCGCCGCCUGGGGAGUACGGCCGCAAGGCUGAAACUUAA
Molecule: ribosomal RNA, 740 nt
Filed under: uncultured archaeon
Lineage: Archaea
Description: bacterial SSU rRNA
Rfam family: Archaeal small subunit ribosomal RNA
Source: RNAcentral